UACGAAGGGGGCUAGCGUUGCUCGGAAUCACUGGGCGUAAAGGGCGUGUAGGCGGGUAGAUAAGUCGGGCGUGAAAUCCCUAGGCUCAACCUAGGAACUGCCCUCCAAACUGCUUCGCUUGAGACCGGGAGAGGUGAGUGGAAUUCCCAGUGUAGCGGUGAAAUGCGUAGAUAUUGGGAGGAACACCAGUGGCGAAGGCGGCUCACUGGACCGGUACUGACGCUGAGGAGCGAAAGCGUGGGGAGCGAACAGGA
This 254-nucleotide ribosomal RNA is filed under the name uncultured bacterium. Its description in RNAcentral is "partial 16S ribosomal RNA". It matches the Rfam family "Bacterial small subunit ribosomal RNA", at positions 524 to 777 of the family's 1533-position model. The record is from RNAcentral.